This 253-nucleotide ribosomal RNA is filed under the name uncultured bacterium. RNAcentral's name for it is "partial 16S ribosomal RNA". It matches the Rfam family "Bacterial small subunit ribosomal RNA", at positions 524 to 776 of the family's 1533-position model. The record is from RNAcentral.
UACGUAGGGGGCGAGCGUUGCUCGGAAUCACUGGGCGUAAAGGGCGUGUAGGCGGAUAGAUAAGUCGAACGUGAAAUCCCCGGGCUCAACCCGGGAACUGCGUCCGAUACUGGUGGGCUUGAAUCCGGGAGAGGGAUGUGGAAUUCCAGGUGUAGCGGUGAAAUGCGUAGAUAUCUGGAGGAACACCGGUGGCGAAGGCGGCAUCCUGGACCGGUAUUGACGCUGAGGCGCGAAAGCCAGGGGAGCAAACGGG